CUAAAGGCUACACAUCACCACUGAAUUCAACAUGCAAACCGUGUACGAAUGACAUGCACGGUUACAAAUGUAAAGACACUUGCACGUGUACCAGCAAUGAAAAGUGCGAUCACAUUAAGGGGUGCAUCCUUGAUGACAGAAGAACAAGAGGAAACAACAACGCAAGUAGAGGCAACUCUGAAGAUCUGUCUACCACAUCAAGUAA
Long non-coding RNA from Mytilus trossulus (common blue mussel), 205 nucleotides. RefSeq lists it as uncharacterized. The record is from RefSeq and is a predicted model, not a curated record. The transcript is spliced from 3 exons. Lineage: Eukaryota; Metazoa; Mollusca; Bivalvia; Mytilida; Mytilidae.